GACGAACGCUGGCGGCGUGCUUAACACAUGCAAGUCGAACGGAAAGGCCCUGCUUUUGUGGGGUGCUCGAGUGGCGAACGGGUGAGUAACACGUGAGUAACCUGCCCUUGACUUUGGGAUAACUUCAGGAAACGGGGGCUAAUAUCGGAUAGGAGCUCCUGCUGCAUGGUGGGGGUGGGAAAGUUUCGGCGGUUGGGGAUGGACUCGCGGCUUAUCAGCUUGUUGGUGGGGUAGUGGCUGACCAAGGCUUGGGCGGGUAGCCGACCUGGGAGGGUGGCCGGCCACAUUGCGACUGAGAUACGGCCCAGACUCCUACGGGAGGCAGCAGUGGGGAAUAUUGCCCAAUGGGCGGACGCCUGAUGCAGCAACGCCGCGUUCGGGAUGACGGCCUUCGGGUUGUAAACCGCUUCCGCCUGUGACGAAGCGUGAGUGACGGUAAUGGGUAAAGAAGCACCGGCUAACUACGUG
This 468-nucleotide ribosomal RNA is filed under the name uncultured bacterium. RNAcentral describes it as "partial 16S ribosomal RNA". It matches the Rfam family "Bacterial small subunit ribosomal RNA", at positions 28 to 507 of the family's 1533-position model. The record is from RNAcentral.